Molecule: non-coding RNA, 1362 nt
Organism: Solanum lycopersicum (tomato)
Lineage: Eukaryota; Viridiplantae; Streptophyta; Magnoliopsida; Solanales; Solanaceae
Source: RefSeq, a predicted model, not a curated record
UACUAAUAUACUUUCAAUGCUAUAAAUUGGACUCUAAACCUUCAUAUUCAUAUUACUUUCAAUCUUCCAAUCUACUUUCAAUCUUUCAAUCUUCCAAUCUACUUUCAAUCUUCCAACAAUCUUAAAAUUCUUGUUAUUCUUCAAAUUUUCUAAAGUUUUUAAAAGCAUUUUCUUUAUAAGAUAUGCAUCCGUCAAAUUUAUACGUACAUCCUGGUCCAGUAGAGCAUGAUGUAUUAAAAAUUCAAGUUCAUCAUCGUUCCAAAGGAAUUUGGAAUGGUAGCAUAAAAGAAGAGAGGUCUUGCUUAUAUACGCGUCGUGGUGAUAUUGAAUUUUGGCAACAUUUAAAAUAUCAUCCAUUACAUUCUCGCAUCCUUCAAUAUUUUGAAAAUUGUAGAUUUAAAGGAAUUCUUGAUGUUGGAUGUGAUCCGUCAUACUUUUCACAUGCGAACUGGCGAGGCUACCGUAACUUUACAAGAUAUUGAAAUUUUAUUCGGAAUGAUAGUAGAUGUUAGUCCUAUAAUUUUAAAUGGAGCUGAUUCUUUAGGGAUUAUAGGUAGACAAGAAAUGAUUUUUCAAUUCACAGGAUGGUUACCCGAUACUAGUUGUUUUUCUGGUGUUAGUAGAUUGUUAACAUAUAAAUUGAUUGAGUAUAUCGAAGGUUUGGAAGUUGUUAAUGAUAACUCAACUGAGCAUGAAGUUCAACAAAGAUUUAGAUUAUAUUUAUUAUGGUUAUGUGGUGCAUCAAUAUUUCCGGAUAAAUCUAAUAAUAAGAUUAAUUUGGACAUUUUGAUUGACAUGAGAAACUUAGAUUUAAUGUCAACUCAAGCAUGGGGAUCGGCCGCAUUAUCAUAUUUGUAUAAUUGUUUAUGUCGUGUGUCAAUGAAAAAAUCAAAUGAAGUUUGUGGAUUUCUCUCUUAAGUGCAGGUAUACAUAUUUUUUAAUUAAAUAUUUUAUAUAUACUAGUAAUAUGCACUUUUAAAUUUAAGUGCAUUAUAAGUAAUGGUGAAUUUAUUUAUUGUAGAUUUGGGCAUGGGAAAGAAUUAUUCCCGUGCAACCAUUACCAAAGCCUCUAAGAACCAAUCAACUUGAGGCUUCAACUGCGCUUGCACGUAAGUGGACGCGACGUAGAAAUUAUCAAAAUGAGGCACGAACUGUAAUAGGUGUGAUUAGGGAUGUACUAGAUAAUCUAACUGAUGAACAGUUUAUUUGGCAGCCUUAUUCGGAAGAUGUUAUUAAUGGAUUGCCUGAGUGGUGUCGGUCAGGACAACGUGUCUGGAUGGCACAGGUGCCACUGAUUUAUGGAAUUUAUCGUGAGUGGCACAUGGUUGAUCGUGUUGUGAGACAGUUCGGUUAUUUACAACA